GAUUAAGUUAUUAAGGGCGCACGGUGGAUGCCUUGGCACUAGAAGCCGAUGAAGGACGUUACUAACGACGAUAUGCUUUGGGGAGCUGUAAGUAAGCUUUGAUCCAGAGAUUUCCGAAUGGGGAAACCCAGCAUGAGUUAUGUCAUGUUAUCGAUAUGUGAAUACAUAGUAUAUCAGAAGGCACACCCGGAGAACUGAAACAUCUUAGUACCCGGAGGAAGAGAAAGAAAAUUCGAUUCCCUUAGUAGCGGCGAGCGAAACGGGAAGAGCCCAAACCAACAAGCUUGCUUGUUGGGGUUGUAGGACACUCUAUACGGAGUUACAAAGGACGACAUUAGACGAAUCAUCUGGAAAGAUGAAUCAAAGAAGGUAAUAAUCCUGUAGUCGAAAAUGUUGUCUCUCUUGAGUGGAUCCUGAGUACGACGGAGCACGUGAAAUUCCGUCGGAAUCUGGGAGGACCAUCUCCUAAGGCUAAAUACUCUCUAGUGACCGAUAGUGAACCAGUACCGUGAGGGAAAGGUGAAAAGCACCCCGGAAGGGGAGUGAAAUAGAACCUGAAACCGUGUGCUUACAAGUAGUCAGAGCCCGUUAAUGGGUGAUGGCGUGCCUUUUGUAGAAUGAACCGGCGAGUUACGAUUUGAUGCAAGGUUAAGCAGUAAAUGUGGAGCCGUAGCGAAAGCGAGUCUGAAUAGGGCGUUUAGUAUUUGGUCGUAGACCCGAAACCAGGUGAUCUACCCUUGGUCAGGUUGAAGUUCAGGUAACACUGAAUGGAGGACCGAACCGACUUACGUUGAAAAGUGAGCGGAUGAACUGAGGGUAGCGGAGAAAUUCCAAUCGAACCUGGAGAUAGCUGGUUCUCUCCGAAAUAGCUUUAGGGCUAGCCUCAAGUGAUGAUUAUUGGAGGUAGAGCACUGUUUGGACGAGGGGCCCCUCUCGGGUUACCGAAUUCAGACAAACUCCGAAUGCCAAUUAAUUUAACUUGGGAGUCAGAACAUGGGUGAUAAGGUCCGUGUUCGAAAGGGAAACAGCCCAGACCACCAGCUAAGGUCCCAAAAUAUAUGUUAAGUGGAAAAGGAUGUGGCGUUGCCCAGACAACUAGGAUGUUGGCUUAGAAGCAGCCAUCAUUUAAAGAGUGCGUAAUAGCUCACUAGUCGAGUGACACUGCGCCGAAAAUGUACCGGGGCUAAACAUAUUACCGAAGCUGUGGAUUGUCCUUUGGACAAUGGUAGGAGAGCGUUCUAAGGGCGUUGAAGCAUGAUCGUAAGGACAUGUGGAGCGCUUAGAAGUGAGAAUGCCGGUGUGAGUAGCGAAAGACGGGUGAGAAUCCCGUCCACCGAUUGACUAAGGUUUCCAGAGGAAGGCUCGUCCGCUCUGGGUUAGUCGGGUCCUAAGCUGAGGCCGACAGGCGUAGGCGAUGGAUAACAGGUUGAUAUUCCUGUACCACCUAUAAUCGUUUUAAUCGAUGGGGGGACGCAGUAGGAUAGGCGAAGCGUGCGAUUGGAUUGCACGUCUAAGCAGUAAGGCUGAGUAUUAGGCAAAUCCGGUACUCGUUAAGGCUGAGCUGUGAUGGGGAGAAGACAUUGUGUCUUCGAGUCGUUGAUUUCACACUGCCGAGAAAAGCCUCUAGAUAGAAAAUAGGUGCCCGUACCGCAAACCGACACAGGUAGUCAAGAUGAGAAUUCUAAGGUGAGCGAGCGAACUCUCGUUAAGGAACUCGGCAAAAUGACCCCGUAACUUCGGGAGAAGGGGUGCUCUUUAGGGUUAACGCCCAGAAGAGCCGCAGUGAAUAGGCCCAAGCGACUGUUUAUCAAAAACACAGGUCUCUGCUAAACCGUAAGGUGAUGUAUAGGGGCUGACGCCUGCCCGGUGCUGGAAGGUUAAGAGGAGUGGUUAGCUUCUGCGAAGCUACGAAUCGAAGCCCCAGUAAACGGCGGCCGUAACUAUAACGGUCCUAAGGUAGCGAAAUUCCUUGUCGGGUAAGUUCCGACCCGCACGAAAGGCGUAACGAUUUGGGCACUGUCUCAACGAGAGACUCGGUGAAAUCAUAGUACCUGUGAAGAUGCAGGUUACCCGCGACAGGACGGAAAGACCCCGUGGAGCUUUACUGUAGCCUGAUAUUGAAAUUCGGCACAGCUUGUACAGGAUAGGUAGGAGCCUUUGAAACGUGAGCGCUAGCUUACGUGGAGGCGCUGGUGGGAUACUACCCUAGCUGUGUUGGCUUUCUAACCCGCACCACUUAUCGUGGUGGGAGACAGUGUCAGGCGGGCAGUUUGACUGGGGCGGUCGCCUCCUAAAAGGUAACGGAGGCGCUCAAAGGUUCCCUCAGAAUGGUUGGAAAUCAUUCAUAGAGUGUAAAGGCAUAAGGGAGCUUGACUGCGAGACCUACAAGUCGAGCAGGGUCGAAAGACGGACUUAGUGAUCCGGUGGUUCCGCAUGGAAGGGCCAUCGCUCAACGGAUAAAAGCUACCCCGGGGAUAACAGGCUUAUCUCCCCCAAGAGUUCACAUCGACGGGGAGGUUUGGCACCUCGAUGUCGGCUCAUCGCAUCCUGGGGCUGUAGUCGGUCCCAAGGGUUGGGCUGUUCGCCCAUUAAAGCGGUACGCGAGCUGGGUUCAGAACGUCGUGAGACAGUUCGGUCCCUAUCCGUCGUGGGCGUAGGAAAUUUGAGAGGAGCUGUCCUUAGUACGAGAGGACCGGGAUGGACAUACCUCUGGUGUACCAGUUGUCGUGCCAACGGCAUAGCUGGGUAGCUAUGUGUGGACGGGAUAAGUGCUGAAAGCAUCUAAGCAUGAAGCCCCCCUCAAGAUGAGAUUUCCCAACUUCGGUUAUAAGAUCCCUCAAAGAUGAUGAGGUUAAUAGGUUCGAGGUGGAAGCAUGGUGACAUGUGGAGCUGACGAAUACUAAUCGAUCGAAGACUUAAUCAA
RNAcentral lists this ribosomal RNA (2923 nucleotides) under Staphylococcus aureus. Its description in RNAcentral is "23S ribosomal RNA". It matches the Rfam family "Bacterial large subunit ribosomal RNA". Lineage: Bacteria; Bacillati; Bacillota; Bacilli; Caryophanales; Staphylococcaceae. The record is from RNAcentral.